UGUAUGUUUCCUUAUGAGAAGAUAUGUUCCUCUCUUGUAAGGAAGACUCUUGUAUUCAAAUUGGAAUACUCAGAAACUAAGAAAGCUCUAGGCACACGUAGGUACUAAAUACUUUUGCAUCAAGUAAUUAAUGCACCAACAGGAUAUUUCUGCUAUGAUCUUUUACCCACAAUGUGUAACAUAAAACAACAUAUAUCAUGGAGGCCCUUUAUAACAUUUUCUAUUUAAUUUUCAACAACAAAAAUGGUAAGAAUUAGUCCCUAAACAUCUUUUCUCACAUCAGCUGAUUCUUAUUGCAUCAGACUGAGCAGAACUGUGAUUUUCCAGGGAUCAGUGUCAUUUAGGGAUGUGACUAUGGGCUUCACUCAAGAGGAGUGGCAGCAUCUGGACCCUGCUCAGAGGACCCUGUACAGGAAUGUGAUGCUGGAGAACUACAGCCACCUUGUCUCAGUAGGGGUAUUGCAUUCCUAAACCAGAAGUGAUCCUCAAAUUGGAGACAGGCAAGGAGCCAUGGAUAUUAGAGGAAAAAUUUCGAAGCCAGAGUCAUCUGGGUGGGUUAGUGCCAGAUGGAAUUUAAAGAAUUAAUUAAUACCAGUAGAAACUAUUCAAGAACGAAGUUCAAUGAGUUUAACAAAGGUGGAAAAUGUUUCUGUGAUGAAAGCAUGAAAUAAUUCAUUUUGAAGAGGAACCUUCUGAAUAUAAUAAAAAUGGGAACAGCUUCUGGCUGAAUGAAGACCUCAUUUGGCAUCAGAAGAUUAAAAAUUGGGAGCAACCUUUUGAAUACAAUGAAUGUGGGAAAGCUUUCCCUGAGAAUUCACUCUUCCUUGUACAUAAGAGAGCUUACACAGGACAGAAAACAUGCAAAUAUACUGAACAUGGGAAAACCUGUUAUAUGUCAUUUUUUAUUACUCAUCAGCAAACACAUCCAAGAGAGAACCACUAUGAAUGUAAUGAAUGUGGAGAAAGUAUCUUUGAGGAAUCCAUUCUCUUUGAACAUCAGAAUGUUUACCCAUUCAGCCAGAAUUUAAAUCCCACUCUAAUUCCGAGAACCCACUCAAUUAGCAAUAUUAUUGAAUAUAAUGAAUGUGGAACCUUUUUCAGUGAAAAAUUAGCCCUUCAUUUACAACAGAGAACACAUCCAGGGGAAAAACCUUAUGAAUAUCAUGAAUGUGGAAAAACCUUCACCCAGAAGUCAGCCCACACAAGACAUCAGAGAACACACACAGGGAAAACCCUAUGAAUGUCAUGGAUGUGGGAAGACCUUCUAUAAGAAUUCAGACCUCAUUAGAAAUCAAAGAAUUCACACAGGGGAGAGACCUUACAGAUGUCAUGAAUGGAGAAAUCCUUCAGUGAAAAGUCAUCCCUUACUCAACAUCAGAGAACACACGCGGGGAGAAAUCAUAUGAAUGUCAUGAAUGUGGGAAAACCUCGUUUAAGUCAGUUCUAACUGUGCAUCAGAAAACACACAGGGGAGAAGCCCUAUGAAUGCUAUGCAUGUGGGAACACCUUUCUUGGAAAAUCCGACCUCAUUAAACAUCAGAGAAUUCACACAGGAGAAAAACCUUAUGAAUGUAAUGAAUGUGGGAAGUCAUUCUCUGAGAAGUCAACCCUUACUAAACAUCUAAGAACACACAGAUGGGAAAUCUUAUGAAUGUAUUCAAUGUGGAAAAUUUUUCUGCUGCUACUACAGUUUCACAGAACAUCUGAGAAGACACACAGGGGAGAAACCUUUUGGAUGUAAUGAAUGUGGGAAAACCUUCCAUCAGAAGUCGGCCCUAAUUGUUCACCAGAGAACUCAUAUAAGACAGAAACCCUAUGGAUGUAAUGAAUAUGGAAAAUCAUUCUGUGUGAAGUCAAAACUCAUUGCACAUCAUAGAACAUACAAAGGGGAGAAACCCUAUGAAUGUAAUGUUUGUGGAAAAUUAUUAUUAAGUCAAAACUAACUGUACAUCACAGAACACACUUGAGGUGAAACCCUAUAAAUGUAGUAAGUGAGGGAAAUUACUCUGGGUGAAGUCAGAACUUUGUAGAGCAGAGAACAUAAAGGGUGAGAGAAAUCUGUUAAUAUAAUGAUAAUGAGAACACCUUUGCCCUGAAGUCAGUUCUCACAGUAGAGAAGAGAACUUAAAGAGGGAAAAAACAAUAUGAAGAUAUGGAAUGCAGGAAAACAUUAUUCUGGGAUUUGGGCCAUAGAUUAUGUUUAAAAACUAAAAGUGAAAAACACUUAUUGGUGAAUGAAUAUAGGAAACAUUUUGCUCAAUGCCACACCUCAGUAAACAUCAGAGAGUUCACACAGGGUGAAACCUGGCUCAGCAUCCCUAAGUUGAGAAGGGAUGCAUUUUUUUUUGCUACUACUACAGUUUCACAGAAUAUCUGAGAAGACACACAGGGGAGAAACUUUUUGGGUGUAAUGAAUGUGGGAAAACCUUUCACCAGAAGUGAGCCCUAAUUGUUCACCACAGAACUCAUAUAAGACAGAAACCCUAUGGAUGUAAUGAAUGUGGAAAAUCAUUCUGUGUGAAGUCAAGAGGCCACAGAAAAUGCACAAACUAUAGGAAAGCAUUUACUAUGAGGUUAUAUUUUAUAGAGUAUAUGUAAUAAGAAGUACCUUCUUAGUGAACAUCAGAUAGUAGAGGAAGUAUUUUUAACUGUAUCCAAUGUGUGGACAUUUUAGGUUAAAAUCUAAAUUUAAUAUAGACCAGAGGUGUUGAAUUGCAGGAUAUCUAGCAAUUUAAGAAAAUGUAGAGAAAAGGUUUUUUUUGUUUUUU
This 2768-nucleotide long non-coding RNA is filed under the name Pan troglodytes (chimpanzee). RNAcentral's name for it is "long non-coding RNA NONPTRT002133". The record is from RNAcentral. Lineage: Eukaryota; Metazoa; Chordata; Mammalia; Primates; Hominidae.